AGUGAACGUUGGCGGCGUGGAUUAGGCAUGCGAGUCGAGCGAGAACCGUAGCAAUACGGGGACAGCGGCGAAAGGGACAGUAAUAUGUAGGUACCUACCCUCGGGUCCGGGAUAGCUGCGGGAAACUGCAGGUAAUACCGGAUGACAUCUCCGGAUCAAAGGUGUGAUUCCGCCCGGGGAGGGGCCUGCAUCCUAUUAGCUUGUUGGUGGGGUAACGGCCUACCAAGGCGACGAUGGGUAGCGGGUGUGAGAGCAUGACCCGCGUCAUUGGGACUGAGACACGCCCCAGAAACCUACGGGUGGGUGCAGUCGAGAAGCUUCGGCAAUGGGGGCAACCCUGACCGAGCGACGCCGCGUGCGGGAUGAAGGCCUUCGGGUUGUAAACCGCUGUCGUAGAGGAGGAAAUGCAGGGGGGUUCUCCCCUCUGUUUGACCUAUUCUAGGAGGAAGGACGGGCUAAGUUCGUGCCAGCAGCCGCGGUAA
This 482-nucleotide ribosomal RNA is filed under the name uncultured bacterium. RNAcentral's name for it is "partial 16S ribosomal RNA". It matches the Rfam family "Bacterial small subunit ribosomal RNA", at positions 30 to 523 of the family's 1533-position model. The record is from RNAcentral.